Non-coding RNA from Podarcis lilfordi (Lilford's wall lizard), 82 nucleotides. The record is from the annotation of a GenBank genome assembly. Lineage: Eukaryota; Metazoa; Chordata; Lepidosauria; Squamata; Lacertidae.
GUUAGGGAAGGGCCUUAGCUCACUGGUAGAGCUUCUGCUUUGCACGCAUGAAGUCCAAGGUUCAAUUCUUGAAUCCCUGACA